Molecule: unclassified non-coding RNA, 3891 nt
Filed under: Hevea brasiliensis (rubber tree)
Lineage: Eukaryota; Viridiplantae; Streptophyta; Magnoliopsida; Malpighiales; Euphorbiaceae
Source: RNAcentral
CCCCUCUCUGGUUCUCCCUCACCAGAAGCAACUCAAAAUCUAUCAACUUUUCCGCUGAGCGGAUCUCGCCGAAAUCCCUGUCCUUACAAUUGCCGGUGCAUUCUCCGGCCAAUUGGUGACGGGACUAUCUUCGAUCUCCUGUGUAAAAAAGAAAAAUAUCGUUUGUUCUCAAACCUUCAAAUAUCUUAUGCAUUUUUAUUCCAUUAACAGUCGAUCAAAUUAAAAUUCCCCUCUAUCUCUUGGUUCUAAUUUAGGGCCUGCGUUUCAUUAUCGCAUUUUCUAUUUUCUUGGUAAUGCAUUUGGUUCUUAGUGAAAUGAAGAAAAAUAGAACCAAAUAUUUUGGGCUUUUAUUGCUCUUUUUGUUUUCAUUGUGAUUGCAUGGGGCUUGGUUCAGUGAGUUUUUAAUCAUCUGGUGCUUGAAAACACCAAAGAUUUAAAAUAUAAUUUUACAGUUUUCUCCUUGCUACGAAACAGUGGUUUAGUGACCCUUGCUGAUUUUCCCCCCCUUUUGGCAGGUAAGCUUGAGGUGGGCUAUUAGUUUCUGCUCAAAUUGCUGUUUUUGCUUAAACCAGGACUUGAAGAAAUUUGUAGAACUGUUUGGUUUCAAGCUAGAAGUAUCAAUAGCUCACUGCAAAUAAAAGAAAAAGAAACUAGAAAUGGUAUGUUUCUUGUAUCUGUUACCAAAUUUGAACUUCAAGUUAAGAUUUUGUGUUGUGCUUUUAGAACCUGUAUGCUAAUAUUGAAUGUGAAAUUGAGAAGUUAAGAGCUAAGGAAUUUGUUAGCCCUUAUUGGUUUAGCUGUUUGACUUUGCACAAGCUGUGCUCUUAUUUCGUAAUAGCCUGUUAAUUUUGUUAUGAAAUGCUUGGGUUCCUUUAAGUGGGUGUGGGAAUCAUGGGUUGUAUAAUGAUUGCUGAGAUUGUUUCAUUAUUAUAAUCUUGAUCAGUCCUAUCAUAAAAUAUGCAUUUAAUAUUCAUUUGGCUUGAUGCCACUUAUGAAAUCUUUGAUUUGCUUUCCUUGUACUCUCCAAGAUCUUGCAUACAUCUGAUCAUUUGAAUAUUUUUCUAGCACAUAAUGUGUCAUUAGUUUGAUGGAUGUAACUUUUAUCAGUUAACACUUUUGCAGAAUUUUGGUUUUGCAGUCGAAACUAUUAAUCUAAAAUUCAUGAAGUCUGAUCGUAGACAAAUGGAUUGUAGCAUUUCAUCAGCAUACAAAUCCCUUUAAUAACUUAAGAGAAAUUCUUGGAAUUGGAUACUUUCAAACAUCAUUUGAAGUUUACAUUGUGGCUUUUUAGCUUGACUACUUUCUCCUUCUUUGGCAUUAAAAGAACAGCAUAAUUAUUUGGUGUAGAUUGGUUCCAGUAAUUCUUGUCAAAUUGUGCACUAAUAAGAAGUUGUUGGAUGUUGUAAUUCUGCAUGGCUCACUUAAUGGAGGGAACUAAAGAUACAGAAGAGGGAUAGUGAUUAAAGACGUAAAGUUUAAUGGGCUUUUUUAUUUUGCACAUAUCUUGGUUACUAUUAAGAAGUUAAACCUAUUGAUUAAAAUGUUUCAUUUUUGGUUACAUACUUGGCAAGGACUGAGGAUAUUAUUCUGCUCUUAUUGUUCUUUUAUGGAUGUGAUAAGGGACUUCUUUCUUUAUUUUCAUACUUUGUUUGGUAGUCUUUCCAGAAUCAAGGUUUUUGGAUGGCAAAAAGUGCCGAGUCAAUAAAUGAUGGUGAGAUUAAUUAUGAUUCAUCUAGAAUUGAGAUGAAGCGUUCUCAUCAGUGGUUUAUGGAUGGUUCUGAGGUAGAACUAUUUUCCAACAAGAAACAAGCAGUAGGAGUUCCAACCAACAACUUAUUUACAGGAAUGAUAAAUUCAAAUGUUUCUCAAUGGGGAAAUGCUUCUAGUUUUCAGUCAAUGUCUGGCCAUUUUUCUGAACGGUUAUUUGAUUCUGAUAUAGCAAGGACUGCUAAUUUUGAUGACAGAAACAUUUCAUUGGUUAGCUCAGAAAAGUUUACUAUGGGGAGGAAGGUCAAUGAGGAUCCAUUUGGGAAUGAUUCCUCAUUUAAUUUAUCUAUGUCUCACACGCUGGAAGAUCCUAGAUCAAGUUUAAGUUGUAGUGGGAUUAGAAAAGUGAAAGUUAGCGAGGUCAAGGAAUCUGAGAAUAUCAUGCAUUUACCAAUGGAACAUGACUACAGUAGGGUGGAUAGCGAUAAUAUGUCAACUUCUAAUGCUUAUGAUAAGGGUGAAAAUACCAUAUCAAUGGAUCUUGCUUAUAACAAAGGGGGCGGCCACAUCAUGCCUGUGGGUGAAACCUAUGACAGGGAGAGUAACAUUUUCAUUUCAAUGGGACAACCCUAUAGCAAGGGAGAUGACAACAUAACGAUGAGUCAAACAUACAAAGAUAAUAAUAAUACCAUGGCAAUGGGUCACACAUUUAGUAAGGGUGACAACAAUAUCAUAUCUAUGGGUCAAACCUUCACGCCAGAUGAAAACACCAUGUCAAUGGGGCACCUUUUCAGCAAAGGCAAUGACAGUACUGUUUUAAUGGGUCAUACAUACAACAAACGCAACAACAAAAAUUUGUCAGUUGGUCAGUCUUUUAAUAAAAGAGAGAGUACUAUGAUAUCCUUUGGUGGCUAUGAUGACGACGAUACAAGUCCCUCAGGACAGCUCAUAUCCAAUUAUGACUUUUUGAUGGCUCAUUCUUCUCUUCAGAAUUCAGAAGUAAUAAAUGAGAAAGAUGUAGUCAAUUCACAUGUGGAUGCACAUGCAUCUGCUGUCCAUACAACUGCCUCUGGAACUGAAAAUACUUCUAAGAAGAAAGAGGACCUAAAAGCAUCUAAGAAGGCGCCUUCAAAUAACUUCCCUUCAAAUGUUAGAAGUUUACUGUCCACUGGAAUGCUGGAUGGAGUUGCUGUAAAGUAUAUAGCAUGGUCACAGGAGAAGGAGCUUUGUGGUGUUAUAAAAGGUUCUGGAUAUUUAUGUGGCUGUCAGACAUGCAAUUUCUCUAAGGUAAUUAAUGCCUAUGAAUUUGAGCGACAUGCUAAUUGUAAAACAAAACACCCCAAUAAUCACAUAUAUUUUGAGAAUGGGAAGACCAUCUAUGGCAUUGUCCAAGAGCUAAGAAGCACUCCUCAGAGUAUGCUUUUUGAAGUUAUUCAGACAAUAACUGGAUCACCUAUCAACCAGAAGUCCUUUCAUCUUUGGAAAGGUGAUGCAAAGUAUAUCUUUCAAUUAUGUUGCUCUAAAUUUUAAAUUAUCCGUUCUUCUUCCAUUGUUUUUCCUCUGAUUUUUUGGUCAUCUCGUGUAUGCUCUUCUGUCUCCUUUACAGAAUCAUUUCUAGCUGCGACCCGUGAACUUCAACGAAUUUAUGGAAAAGAUGAAGGGAAACCGUUAUAAAAAAAAAGAAGCCUUGUUCAAGUUGUAAGGUAGGACCAUUUUUGUGUUGUGCAUACAAGUGAUCUUUUUGGCUACACCUUGUAUUGGUUAAGGUGGCGGUGCUACUAACUUGAGAUCAUUGGGUGUUUGCAAAAUUGGAGACCAAUGAGCAAAGGAAACUUUUAAUCUUGUCACUGGAUUUAUUAAAGCAGCACAUAGCCCAGAUGCUGAAGGGCAAAUGAAAUUCAAAAAUAUGUGCUACUUGUUAACGGAAGGAAUCUUUUUUGUAACUUUCCUGUGGUGAUUUCCUUCUUGGUAUUCUUUAUCACCAUAACAGGUUUCUCCUUUUUUGAAUGAGUAGAUUACAUUUUACAGAAUGUCAAACUGCCAUAUUUGUCUGGAUUGCUCUAUUCAACUCCAAUCUUGUGAGAAUUAAAUUUUGUUUCAAUUUAGACAUAAAUAGUGUUUUGAUCCAGCAAAAGUUAGGAUCCCCAACGUUUCAUAAUCUGAAUUUUUUUCGUUGAAAAUCAC